UCAGUCGCGUCUGCCAGGGAUCAACCUUACUUUUGUGAGGCGUACUUCCUGGUUGAUGGGUCAGCAUCAGUUUUGGUCGCUGGAUAAAGGUCAGAGAAAUGUGGCACCUUCGGGUGUGUUAUAGUCUUUGAUCAGAUACAGUGGCUGGGACUGAGGAACUCAGCGCCGCAAGGCUGUCUUAGGAUGCUGGCAAAAUGGCUUUAAUCGACCCGUCUUGAAACACGGACCAAGGAGUCUAACAUGCCUGCGAGUGUUUGGGUGGAAAACCCGAGCGCGUAAUGAAAGUGAAAGUUGGGAUCCCUGUCAUGGGGAGCACCGACGCCCAUACCAGAAGUUUACGGACGGAUAUGCGGUGGAGCAUGUAUGUUGGGACCCGAAAGAUGGUGAACUAUGCCUGAAUAGGGCGAAGCCAGAGGAAACUCUGGUGGAGGCUCGUAGCGAUUCUGACGUGCAAAUCGAUCGUCGAAUUUGGGUAUAGGGGC
This 482-nucleotide ribosomal RNA is filed under the name Pleurotus ostreatus (oyster mushroom). RNAcentral's name for it is "eukaryotic LSU rRNA". It matches the Rfam family "Eukaryotic large subunit ribosomal RNA", at positions 429 to 924 of the family's 3401-position model. The record is from RNAcentral. Lineage: Eukaryota; Fungi; Basidiomycota; Agaricomycetes; Agaricales; Pleurotaceae.